AUGACGUGGGGGAACCCCUUCCUGCCCGCCACCUUUUUUUUGGGGGGGGGGACACGGGGUGAGGAGGGGGACACGGUGAGGAAGGGGACAGGGUGGGUGCCCAGGGGGAUGUUGCACCCCACCACGCGCAGCCAGCCCCACCGAUGGCACCCCCAGCAUGGGGAUGUGGGGGGGGACACACACAGGGUUGGACCCCCCCCCAAGCAUCCAUCCAUCACCCCCCCCCUCCCCCCGACCCCAAAUAAAUCCCCGCAGCUCGGCGCUGGCGCCAGGCUGGGACCCCGCAGCGGCUGGGGGCUCCCCCUGCGCCUCCCCGGAGCCGCGCUCGCUCCAGACAUAACAACCCCCCCGCGCCCCCCCCCUGCUGCAGGCUGCCAGACAGUGACUCAUCCCCGCAAGGGGGGCAGCGCCGCCGGGGGACGGGGAUGCCGGAGAAAAGGGGUUGGGGAGGGGGGGACGGGACAGUGGGUGGGGGGCAAAGCAGCCCCCUGUGAUGCUCUGCCCUGCUGGGGGGGGGGGCUGCUCUGCCUGCCCCCUCCCCCCCCCCCCCACAGCCACGUGUGGUUCAGCAGGGAUGCUGAAACCAGCGCGGAGCCAGGCAGGGAGCUGUGGGGUGGGGAUUGUGGGGACCCCCCCUGCGCACCCCUCUGCUCGGGGGGGGUCCUCUGGUGGGUCUCCCCCUGCCCCCGUGCCUGCCCCCCUCCCCACCUUGUCCCUGUCUUCCAGCUUGGGGGGGGGGUGCUGGGGUCUCAGGGGACUGGCAGCCAGGUAGCCAAAGCUUGGGGUGGGUUGUGGGGUCUUGGGGGGCUCUGGGGUACCCCAAAGCCCAGGACCCCCCAGCUUGGGGAUCAGCACAGGGACAGCAUGGGCCAAAAGCUGGGGAUUGCUGUGGGGUCUGCAGGGCACCGGGAUACCCCAGUCCCUCCAGACUGGGGACACCUCGCGUGCUGGGGGCUCACGGGGCACCGGGACCCCAGGUCCCCAAAGCUUGGGGAGGGCCGUGGGGUUUGGGGGGAGGGUUAUGGAGCAUCAGCUCCCCCCAGCUUGAGGACAGCUUGCACGGGGGAGCAUUCAUGGGGCACCAGGACCCCCAGGACCCCCAGCUCGGGGAUGUUUGGAGGGUCUUGGGAUCACCCAGGUCCUUUGGGGAGGCCGUGGGGUGCCCGGGGUGGGGGUUACCUGGAGCCGCCCGUCCAAGGUGCGCUGGAUGGUGACGCACUUGCUGGGGUGGGCGCCGUUGGUGGUGAUGGCGGCGAUGAGCGAGUCGAGCUCGUCCUUCUUCUCCUUCAGCUUCUUCACCAGGCUCUCGAUGGCCCGCUUGGCGAAGGUCUCGUUCUCCCCGCCCUGCCGGUGGCACAUCAGGCUGUGCACGAUGCUCAGGCAGGCGUCGCUGCUGGUGGGCGCGCCGAGGGACAUGGCGCCGCUCCCCUGCAAGGCACGGCACGGCACGGCCCUGCCCGUCACCCCCGCGGCAGGGGUCCCGCCGGCCCCCCUGCCCUCGCCUGCGCGCCCACCGCGGCACGGGGCCGCUCAGCAUCGUGGCAGCGCCGCGCCGGUGCCCACAGGGGGGGGGCUGGAGGUGGGGAGAGGAGGGGGAUUAUUCGGCCCCCCUGCGGCACCGGGGACGCGGUGGCACCUGGAAAGGGCACGUGGCGGGCGAGGAGGAGGUGGCACAGAGCCAUGCGUCACCUCGAAUUGGGGGGGGACCAGCUUGGAUGCGUGGCUUCCACGGUCCCUAUCCGGGGUGGGAAGAGGCCACAGGGGUAA
RNAcentral lists this long non-coding RNA (1767 nucleotides) under Anas platyrhynchos platyrhynchos (common mallard). RNAcentral describes it as "lncRNA (ENSAPLG00000020897.1)". The record is from RNAcentral. Lineage: Eukaryota; Metazoa; Chordata; Aves; Anseriformes; Anatidae.